UCUUCUUUCCUUUCUUUCUUUUUUCUUCUUCUUUCCUUUCUUUCUUUCCUUUUUCUUCUUCUUUCCUAUAGUCAGUCUGGCAUUAAAGGAUUCGAUUACAGAAAAAAGGGGUUGUAUUAUUAAGGGCUAACCAGAUGUUGUUCCUUCUCUUUUUUUUUUGCAUGAGUUUGUUGAUGUAAGUGUUACUAAGAGGCUAAAUCGUCUAUUAGUUGAUCUGAAGGCUUUUAUGGUUAUUGAUUUCACCAGAAUAGAAAAAAAGGACAAUAAAGACAACUUCCGCCCACUUGGCUGUAGGGUCAACUUAUAUACUUGAGAAAUUAACAAGAAAUAAAAAAACAUAUUUCAAAAGGAAUUCAAACCUGAAUUUCUUUUCUUCUUCUUAAUCAUUCUAGCACUACAGACAAGUUGUUAUACAUGCGAGUACAUCCAGUAGGAAGCUUACACAUAGACAACUUUCACCCGCACAACUGAACACAGCAUUACAAAGUUAACUAACAACAGAUUAAGUUAACAGAAGACAUAGAAGUUAAUUAAACAUAACAAUGAAUAGUGCUGUGAAUAGUGAAUUCUGCAUUUCUAGCCCGUUAACCUCAACAAACCCACAUCAAUCCCCCAAAACAAGCUUAGUACUUGGAAAAAAGAAAGAGCUAAGUGCUUGUUAAUUUCUUCUGCACGUGGAUGGGUACUUUAGAAGUAUUUUAAAGCUCCAUAAACCUUAAUUGGGUACUUUAAACAGCAACCCAGGAUUAAUUGAGUACUCUAAAAGUACAUUAAAGUAUCUUUAAACAUCCAUAAAUCUUAAAAUAAUCCUCAAAAAUGAAAAGAUUGAAAAAAAAGGCAAAAAAUGUUCUAGGGCACUGAACCGGUAUGCAUUUACAUAUUGAUUGUUGGUAUUAGUACAGUUUGGUAUCGAACCAUCCUGGUCAGGUACCAGUAUGGUACUCGGUAUCUGAACUGCAGACCUUGCCAGGAACAGUUUAUCUGGGCUUCCAAACAAGGCUUAAAAAAACUCUUUUUUUUCAUUUGAAUUGAUAAUUUGUGUACCAAUGUGCUAUAUAUACACCAAUGCAUUACAUGCAAGAAGACACAUAGGUUCCUGCUUCAAAAACCAAAGCAAACCAACUAUCAGAUUUAGCAGGUCUUUGAUUUAGUCAUGAAUCAUAACCUAAAUAUUUUUAUCAUGUGCAGGCCAUUUGCUAAACUAUAUUGUACUUGUCACAGCAUAACUCUCUCUCAAUUAGUUUUUAAUUGUCUUUCUGAUUUAUGCAGAGUUCUUUAGGUAUUAGAUUGGGGCGUCACAUCAUCAAAGAAAUCUCAAAAGGGCGGGUGCGCUUAAUCAUAUACUAAGCAGAUCACAUGUGAUAUAGAAUUGGUUCCAGCAUGGUUACAACUUUUAUAUUGUGUUAUCUUCUCAUGAUCUUUCUUGUUUGAUGUCCCCUUUGUGACCACCAUCUUUUUAUAGGUUUCAUUUGUUGAUCCCAUGAAAAAGCGCAUUGCUACAUCUUGUCAGGGUGUUCCUUUAGGUGGCAUUGGGUAGGUUUUCAUCUUAUGCGCAUAACAUAUAUUUUUGUAGAAGUCAACAUACAAAUUAAAUUUUAUGGAGUUUGAUGUUUGGUAUUAAUUAAGGC
This 1628-nucleotide long non-coding RNA is filed under the name Phoenix dactylifera (date palm). Its description in RNAcentral is "long non-coding RNA (PDAC_LNC001229)". Lineage: Eukaryota; Viridiplantae; Streptophyta; Magnoliopsida; Arecales; Arecaceae. The record is from RNAcentral.